RNAcentral lists this ribosomal RNA (549 nucleotides) under uncultured Glomus. Its description in RNAcentral is "SSU rRNA". It matches the Rfam family "Eukaryotic small subunit ribosomal RNA", at positions 548 to 1098 of the family's 1831-position model. Lineage: Eukaryota; Fungi; Glomeromycota; Glomeromycetes; Glomerales; Glomeraceae. The record is from RNAcentral.
UUGGAGGGCAAGUCUGGUGCCAGCAGCCGCGGUAAUUCCAGCUCCAAUAGCGUAUAUUAAAGUUGUUGCAGUUAAAAAGCUCGUAGUUGAAUUUCGGGAACAAAUAAUCGGUCGUGCCUCCGGUACGUACUGGUUUUAUUGGUUCCUCCCUUCUGACGAACCAUGAUGUCAUUAAUUUGAUGUGGUGGAGAAUCAGGACUGUUACCUUGAAAAAAUUAGAGUGUUUAAAGCAGGCUAACGCUUGAAUACAUUAGCAUGGAAUAAUGAAAUAGGACGUUCGACCCUAUUUUGUUGGUUUCUAGGAUCGACGUAAUGAUUAAUAGGGAUAGUUGGGGGCAUUAGUAUUCAAUUGUCAGAGGUGAAAUUCUUGGAUUUAUUGAAGACUAACUACUGCGAAAGCAUUUGCCAAGAAUGUUUUCAUUAAUCAAGAACGAAAGUUAGGGGAUCGAAGACGAUCAGAUACCGUCGUAGUCUUAACCAUAAACUAUGCCGACUAGGGAUCGGAUGAUGUUAAUUUUUUAAUGACUCAUUCGGCGCCUUACGGGAAAC